This 503-nucleotide ribosomal RNA is filed under the name uncultured bacterium. Its description in RNAcentral is "partial 16S ribosomal RNA". It matches the Rfam family "Bacterial small subunit ribosomal RNA", at positions 30 to 523 of the family's 1533-position model. The record is from RNAcentral.
AUUGAACGCUGGCGGCAGGCUUAACACAUGCAAGUCGAGCGGGGUGAUGGUGCUUGCACUAUCACUUAGCGGCGGACGGGUGAGCAAUGCUUAGGAAUCUGCCUAUUAGUGGGGGACAACAUCUCGAAAGGGAUGCUAAUACCGCAUACGUCCUACGGGAGAAAGCAGGGGAUCACUUGUGACCUUGCGCUAAUAGAUGAGCCUAAGUCGGAUUAGCUAGUUGGUGGGGUAAAGGCCUACCAAGGCGACGAUCUGUAGCGGGUCUGAGAGGAUGAUCCGCCACACUGGUACUGAGACACGGCCCAGACUCCUACGGGAGGCAGCAGUGGGGAAUAUUGGACAAUGGGGGGAACCCUGAUCCAGCCAUGCCGCGUGUGUGAAGAAGGCCUUAUGGUUGUAAAGCACUUUAAGCGAGGAGGAGGCUCUUUUGGUUAAUACCCAAGAUGAGUGGACGUUACUCGCAGAAUAAGCACCGGCUAACUCUGUGCCAGCAGCCGCCGCGG